RNAcentral lists this long non-coding RNA (605 nucleotides) under Homo sapiens (human). Its description in RNAcentral is "HSALNT0275742". The record is from RNAcentral. Lineage: Eukaryota; Metazoa; Chordata; Mammalia; Primates; Hominidae.
UGUGCUCUUGCAGUGGUCAGAAGUGCAAGCGGCACUCUUCUGUAGAAAUAAGUUUGCCUUGCUGAGAAAUAUUUUGUCUGAGUGCUCAUUUUCCUUGCGACUCUGAGCUCUUGUUUCUAACAAAAUAGGGGGUCAUCUGGGAUUCCCAUUCUCCUCUGAGGAAGGGCCUCUGAUCACCUCUUAGGAGGAGAUGCAUCCCACUGCUUCAUUGCAGUGGCCUCAGGGGUAAGGAAUCAGGACCCACCCAGCAUGAUAAAUAAACCCAGACUCUCAGCAACACAGGAAGAAAAGGCCUACAGUUACCGUGGCGACCAGGUAACUGUGCACAGACAAAGAACUAAAGACCUUUUAGCACUGACACCACCCUUGGAGCUCCCAGCACAUCAGCAUCAGCCUGGGAUCACAUUCUCAUCAAAAGCUGGAAAGAAGGAAAACUCGAACCGGCUUGGGAAGGACACUAUCUAGUGCUUCUAACUACAGAAAUUGCUGUCCGCACAGCUGAAAGGGGAUGGACACCCCACACACAAGUGAAAGGAGUGAUUUUCACAGCGAGAGAAAAAUGGGCCGUCACCCCAGGGCCCACCCGCACCAAAUUAAAAAGGGCU